AAACUUUCAACAACGGAUCUCUUGGUUCUCGCAUCGAUGAAGAACGCAGCGAAUUGCGAUAAGUAAUAUGAAUUGCAGAUUUUCGUGAAUCAUCGAAUCUUUGAACGCACAUUGCGCCCCUUGGUAUUCCAAGGGGCAUGCCUGUUUGAGCGUCAUUU
Molecule: ribosomal RNA, 158 nt
Filed under: Lizanozyma spartinae
Lineage: Eukaryota; Fungi; Ascomycota; Pichiomycetes; Serinales; Debaryomycetaceae
Description: Scheffersomyces spartinae 5.8S ribosomal RNA
Rfam family: 5.8S ribosomal RNA
About the family: 5.8S ribosomal RNA (5.8S rRNA) is a component of the large subunit of the eukaryotic ribosome. It is transcribed by RNA polymerase I as part of the 45S precursor that also contains 18S and 28S rRNA.
Source: RNAcentral